GUCACAUUGACAUGUAUCACUUAAUUAAUAUGAUAGUGAAAUUCUUAUUAACUUUGAUAUUCAACAUGGAACGCGCAAAAACAUAUGGACAUUAGAUCGUGGUUGUUGGCUUGAUGGACAAAUAAUCACUUUAGUUGCUUUGCAAUUUACAUUGAAGCAAAAAGAUUGUAUCCCAGAUGCGAAAUAUCCAGCGUGGUAUCUACCUACAUAUUUUUCAGUAAUUUACUUAUGCAUUUUAUAAUUGAAAGCAUUUGACUACGUAGCAUAUCAUGUUUAUCUAUACUAAGCUUGUGUUAUUGAUAUUUAUACUAAUUUUUACGAGUUGUAGCAACAUAUUUUGCACCACAAGGUUCAUAAGGCAAACAUGCUCAAGUCCUAUUUUGGAACAAAACGGUACACAGGAAAAAUUGAAUCAUGUGAAAGGGUAUUGAUUUGUUAUUAUCUCACUUUAUUUUUGUUUAAUAUGUUAAUGAAUAUGAUAGUGCUGAUUAUUGAUUUAAUAUAGGUGUACAUUCCAAUUAAUGAUGCGGGUGAACAUUGGUAUAUGUGUGUGGUAUACAUGCGACAACAAGUGGUAUAUAUCCUUGAUCCGUACAUAUCAAGAAGAAGUAGAACUCGGCCAACUCAAGUGAAAAAAGUGGUUGAAGUAUUACAUGACUUAUUGGGAAUUCAGUACAAGAAUGCAUAUACAAAUAAAAUCACUGAGUUUCCAAUUAGAACACUUGAAUGGCUUCCACAACAAAGUAAUGGCUAUGAUUGUGGAAUGCACGUCAUCAAGUAUUUUGAAUUGGUGCAAUUUAUUGAUUCC
This is a non-coding RNA of Camellia sinensis, 808 nucleotides long. The record is from RefSeq and is a predicted model, not a curated record. NCBI's taxonomy places the organism in Eukaryota, Viridiplantae, Streptophyta, Magnoliopsida, Ericales, Theaceae.